GAAAAUUUGAACUCCAUCUUCAUAUAUGUUAUUGCAGAUGGUUCUAACCAGAAAUCUUGGAUAAAUAAUAAUUCAACCAAAAAAGUGGAAUAUAUCACACAUGCAACUCAUGAUGUAUCUACACUAAUACUAUAUGACCAAAAUAAAAAAUUGGAGAUGCAAAUGCUGUAAACAUCAUAACCUCAAAUCCAGAAGAGGUUUGGGA
Molecule: unclassified non-coding RNA, 205 nt
Filed under: Hevea brasiliensis (rubber tree)
Lineage: Eukaryota; Viridiplantae; Streptophyta; Magnoliopsida; Malpighiales; Euphorbiaceae
Source: RNAcentral